AUUGAACGCUGGCGGCAGGCCUAACACAUGCCAGUCGAGCGGAUGCUGGGAGCUUGCUCCUGGAUUCAGCGGCGGCCGGGUGAGUAAUGCCUAGGAAUCUGCCUGGUAGUGGGGGAAAACGUCCGGAAGCGGGCUCUCAUACCGCAUACGUCCUGAGGGCGAAAGUGGGGGAUCUUCGGACCUCACGCUUUCAUAUGAGCCUAGGUCGGAUGCACUAGUUGGUGGGGUAAAGGCAUAGCAAGGCGAAGCUCCGUAACUGGUCUGAGAGGAUGAUCCGUCACACUGGAACUGAGACUCAGCCCAGACUCUGACGGGAGGAAGCAGUGGGGAAUAUUAGACGAGGGGCGAGUGCCUGAUACAGCCAUGCCGCGUGUGUGAAGAAGGACUUCGGAUGGGUGAGCGCUGUAAGUUGUGGGGAAGUACAGUAAGUUUAUACCGGGCUAUAUUGAUAUUACCAACAGAAUAAGCUCCGGCUAACUUCGUG
RNAcentral lists this ribosomal RNA (484 nucleotides) under uncultured bacterium. Its description in RNAcentral is "partial 16S ribosomal RNA". It matches the Rfam family "Bacterial small subunit ribosomal RNA", at positions 30 to 507 of the family's 1533-position model. The record is from RNAcentral.